AUGAAGACAAACCAUACAAGUCCUGAGACCCUGAGCUGUCAGUUUGACUUAAUGUCAGGAGAUUGCCAAAGUUUCAGCAUCAGCAUCUGUGCUCACCAGCUUCAACAAGAUUUAGAAGAAAGAAAAGAAAGAAAAAAGCAGUUUAUAUUUUGUAAGUUACCUGUGCUCAUGUGCAGCUUACAUACAGGGGCGUUGAUGUGUGCAAUAGAGAAUUAAUUUUAAGCAGAGCUGCUGCUUGAGAUGUGUUUCCCAACUUGGAGACCUGGUUUUGGGGCCAAAAUUGAUGAAUGCUUCAGUACUAAUCCUUUGUGUCUUGUACAGCACCAAACUCCUAAUUAAUGUGGUAGCUAAAGAAUGAAAAUGUGUCCUCCCCCCUAGCUUGUACCACUUUAAUAGACAUUUCCUAUAGUAUUAAAUAAUAAUAUAGUAUUAUAUACAUAAUAAUAUAUUAUUAUAUAAUACUAUAUUAUGUACUAUAUAAUAUAUAUACAAUAAUAUCCUGUAGUAUUAAAUAAUAUUUUUCAACAGAGAUCAGCAAAAUUCCCAUGGUACAGAGCCCUUUUAAUUUUGAUGUAUAAUCAACUUCUGUAAGAGUGUUUUUUACCAGGAUUUCCAAAUUUCUUUUAAACACAAUAUUUGAGGUUUAGAUUGUUUUAUUAGCAAACUUUUUUUUUUUUAUACUAUUUAUUAUGUCAAACAUCCAGCUGUGUUUCAAUUCAUUCUUGAUUUGAUUAAGGGGAUCUGUUGCAUUUUGUUAGUAUAGAACCAUUAACUAAGAACUUUUUUAAAAAGUGCUCUUCAGGUAGUCUAAUCUACUAAAUUCAGAUAGUCUUUAUAAAAGAGCUGCAUUUUAUUCCUUUUGUAUGAUAUUCCACUAUAAAUGAAGAUGAAAUCUGUUGGUCUGCAGCUCCUUUUCUUAAUAUUUCUUCACAUUGGAAAAACAUCUACUCCUUUUUAUUUUUAUUUUUAAGAAUGACAUUUAUAUUAAUUUUAACUAGUGAGGACUUAACAUCACCCAGUGCAAAGAUAUAAUGAAAAAAUAUAAUCUUGACCACCACGUCAUUUUGCUUUGAAUUUCAGGGUCAUUUUCUUUAAAUAUUGUUAUAUGAAUCAUCUCCAUUUACACUGAUAAUAAAAGGCUUUCUGGUGUUCUCA
This 1155-nucleotide long non-coding RNA is filed under the name Junco hyemalis (dark-eyed junco). Its description in RNAcentral is "lncRNA (ENSJHYG00000005067.1)". The record is from RNAcentral. Lineage: Eukaryota; Metazoa; Chordata; Aves; Passeriformes; Passerellidae.